This 467-nucleotide ribosomal RNA is filed under the name uncultured bacterium. RNAcentral describes it as "partial 16S ribosomal RNA". It matches the Rfam family "Bacterial small subunit ribosomal RNA", at positions 28 to 523 of the family's 1533-position model. The record is from RNAcentral.
GAUGAAUGCUGGCGGCGUGCCUAACACAUGCAAGUCGAGCGGUAACAGGUCUAGUUUACUAGAUGCUGACGAGCGGCGGACGGCUGAGUAACGCGUGGGAACGUGCCCCAAAGUGAGGAAUAACUGCCCGAAAGGGUGGCUAAUGCCGCAUAUGAUCUUCGGAUUAAAGGAUUUAUCCGCUUUGGGAGCGGCCCGCGUUAGAUUAGGUAGUUGGUAGGGUAAUGGCCUACCAAGCCGACGAUCUAUAGCUGGUCUGAGAGGAUGAUCAGCCAGACUGGGACUGAGACACGGCCCAGACUCCUACGGGAGGCAGCAGUGAGGAAUCUUCCACAAUGGGCGAAAGCCUGAUGGAGCAACGCCGCGUGAAGGAAGAAGGCCCUCGGGUUGUAAACUUCUUUUAUAAGUGAAGAAUAUGACGGUACCUGACUAAGAAGCACCGGCUAAAUACGUGCCAGCCGCCGCGGUAA